GAUCCUGGCUCAGAUUGAACGCUGGCGGCAGGCCUAACACAUGCAAGUCGAGCGGUAGCACAGAGAGCUUGCUCUCGGGUGACGAGCGGGCGGACGGGUGAGUAAUGUCUGGGAAACUGCCUGAUGGAGGGGGAUAACUACUGGAAACGGUAGCUAAUACCGCAUAACGUCGCAAGACCAAAGUGGGGGGACCUUCGGGCCUCGAAUGCCAUCAGAUGUGCCCAGAUGGGGAUUAAG
Molecule: ribosomal RNA, 237 nt
Filed under: uncultured bacterium
Lineage: Bacteria
Description: partial 16S ribosomal RNA
Rfam family: Bacterial small subunit ribosomal RNA
Source: RNAcentral